AACGAACGCUGGCGGCAGGCCUAACACAUGCAAGUCGAGCGCCCCGCAAGGGGAGCGGCGCACGGGUGAGUAACGCGUGGGAACAUGCCCAGAGGUCGGGAAUAACGGCGGGAAACUGCCGCUAAUACCCGGUAAGCCUUGAGAGGGAAAGGAGCAAUCCGCCUUUGGAGUGGCCCGCGUUGGAUUAGCUAGUUGGUGGGGUAAAAGCCUACCAAGGCUACGAUCCAUAGCUGGUCUGAGAGGAUGAUCAGCCACACUGGGACUGAGACACGGCCCAGACUCCUACGGGAGGCAGCAGUGGGGAAUAUUGGACAAUGGGGGAAACCCUGAUCCAGCCAUGCCGCGUGAGUGAAGAAGGCCCUAGGGUUGUAAAGCUCUUUCGACGGGGACGAUGAUGACGGUACCCGUAGAAGAAGCCCCGGCUAAC
RNAcentral lists this ribosomal RNA (427 nucleotides) under uncultured bacterium. RNAcentral describes it as "bacterial SSU rRNA". It matches the Rfam family "Bacterial small subunit ribosomal RNA", at positions 29 to 501 of the family's 1533-position model. The record is from RNAcentral.